CCUACGGGAGGCAGCAGUGGGGAAUAUUGCACAAUGGGCGCAAGCCUGAUGCAGCGACGCCGCGUGAGGGAUGACGGCCUUCGGGUUGUAAACCUCUUUCAGUAGGGAAGAAGCGUAAGUGACGGUACCUGCAGAAGAAGCGCCGGCUAACUACGUGCCAGCAGCCGCGGUAAUACGUAGGGCGCAAGCGUUAUCCGGAAUUAUUGGGCGUAAAGAGCUCGUAGGCGGUUUGUCGCGUCUGCCGUGAAAGUCCGGGGCUCAACUCCGGAUCUGCGGUGGGUACGGGCAGACUAGAGUGAUGUAGGGGAGACUGGAAUUCCUGGUGUAGCGGUGAAAUGCGCAGAUAUCAGGAGGAACACCGAUGGCGAAGGCAGGUCUCUGGGCAUUAACUGACGCUGAGGAGCGAAAGCAUGGGGAGCGAACAGGAUUAGAUACCCUGGUAGUCCAUGCCGUAAACGUUGGGCACUAGGUGUGGGGGACAUUCCACGUUUUCCGCGCCGUAGCUAACGCAUUAAGUGCCCCGCCUGGGAGUACGGCCGCAGGCAAACUUAAUGAAUUGACG
Molecule: ribosomal RNA, 562 nt
Filed under: uncultured bacterium
Lineage: Bacteria
Description: bacterial SSU rRNA
Rfam family: Bacterial small subunit ribosomal RNA
Source: RNAcentral